CCCUUAGAUGUUCUGGGCUGCACGCGCGCUACACUGACGCACGCAACAGGUGCCUGCUCCGAGAGGACUGGGUAAUCAUUUGAGUGUGCGUCGUGAUGGGGAUAGAAUAUUGUAAUUAUUACUCUUCAACGAGGAAUUCCUAGUAAGCGCCAGUCAGCAGCUUGCGCUGAUUACGUCCCUGCCCUUUGUACACACCGCCCGUCGCUCCUACCGAUGGGUGAUCCGGUGAAUGAUUCGGACUUCAGCGGCUCCCCUGGGGUGCACCGGAGAAAGUUUUGUGAACCUUAUCACUUGGAGGAAGGAGAAGUCGUAACA
Molecule: ribosomal RNA, 315 nt
Filed under: uncultured eukaryote
Lineage: Eukaryota
Description: partial 18S ribosomal RNA
Rfam family: Eukaryotic small subunit ribosomal RNA
Source: RNAcentral